This 1436-nucleotide long non-coding RNA is filed under the name Ictidomys tridecemlineatus (thirteen-lined ground squirrel). Its description in RNAcentral is "lncRNA (ENSSTOG00000026206.2)". The record is from RNAcentral. Lineage: Eukaryota; Metazoa; Chordata; Mammalia; Rodentia; Sciuridae.
GCGAGAGAGCGCGAGGGAGGGAGGGCGGGCGCAGGGAGGAGGGAGGGGAGGGGAGCGGGAGGAGGGGGAGGAGGAGGAGGAGAGAGCAGAGUAUACCGCAGACAUCAUUUCUACUACAGUGGCGGAGCCGUACAGGACCUGUUUCACUGCAGGGGGAUCCAAAACAAGCCCCGUGGAGCAGCCGCCAGAGCGACAGCAGCCGCAAGACAUUGUUUCUCUCCCUCUGUCCCCCCUUCCCCACGCAACCCCAGAUCUAUUUACACUUUACAGAGCAUCGUGCACCGAGUCACCAGGGUGGUCCAUUCAAGCUGCAGAUACGUUUGUCCUCCUUACACAGCAAUCUCGUCCCCCACUGCCACCACAGGGAAGUACAUCGCAUGUCAGAGGAUUGGCUUAAGUUGGCUCCAGAUGUUGCUUGGCAUCCAGAGUCCCAGGGAGACGAUGAACUUUUGACUUUUCAAAGAGCUUCUCUGGGUCACCGCUCAGCGCGCAAGACUUGGCAGACAGGAACUCUUUCUCUCUCCGGUGUGCUGUGCUGUGCUGGGUGGUGGUGUGGCCCUCACUGUGCAGUGGAGGGAGCUCAGGCUGCAGUGGGGUGGCCGUGGGAAGCACAGAUCGUCCAUCGCCCCUGCCUGCCUCUCCCAGUGCUUCAUUUUCUCCCCUUCCCUGGACCAGUGAAGGGAUCUUAGCCAGCUCAUGUCCAGUCCGGAGGAAGAAAGGUCACGUUCCUCAGCCAGCACAGGGAACCCCGGAUUGACUUUCUGAUGUCAAUUUCGCUGUUGUUGUUGCUUUUCGGGUUUUUUCUUUUUUUUCUUCUUUUUUUUUGUAUUUACCUGCAGAGCCUCUCCCUUCACAGACACUGGGAAUGGAAGAGGCCUUGAGAUUCGCUCCCGUGCGCUUGCCUGGCAGCUCCAGUCGACAUCACAGCUGUAAUCAUAUGUGAUGAAUUUUUAUUUACAGAUUAGUAGACUCUGACUCUGACAUAUGACUAGCCGGGAAGCUCCUCCCUACAACAGUUGUGUGUCAUCUGCUUCAGAGAACUAAUUGCUUGGCAAUUCCCCCUUGGUAAUUCCCUCUUUAUUUUCUGAUGAGUUACUUAACAGUGAUGGGCUUGUUGAGCCGAGGAUGGAGUUUACCGUGGGCUCCUGAAACACCACCGUCGGCCUGGAAUUCUGUUGUGCUUUCCUGAAGAAACACUGGGACCAUUAUGUGGCCUGUUCAUAUUUCACUCAGUCCUGGGUUCCACACAGAGCCGUGUACAGUCUUCCAAGGGGAAUCAAAAGCAGGCCUCUUUCCAGACAUGUACCCCCGUGCAUUGGAAAAUUAUUAAAAAGGAAUUUAAUCUUUCUAGAAUGUUCAGUGCUCUUUUAAAAAUAUGAUUCGAAAUGGAGUAGCUCUCGACUCUGCUGCCGAGAGAGUGCGCUUGAGAAGAAAGC